GAUGAACGCUGGCGGCGUGCCUAACACAUGCAAGUCGGACGCCCGCUUCGGUGGGAGUGGCGCACGGGUGAGUAACACGUAGCUGACCUGUCCUGGAGGGCGGGACAACCCCGGGAAACCGGGGCUAAACCCGCAUAAGCUCGCGGUCUGUAGAGGACUGGGAGAAAACACGUAAGUGACUUCAGGAGGGGGCUGCGGCCCAUCAGGUAGUUGGUGGGGUAAGAGCCUACCAAGCCGACGACGGGAGGGGGUCUGAGAGGGUGGUCCCCCACACUGGGACUGAGACACGGCCCAGACUCCUACGGGAGGCAGCAGUGAGGAAUAUUGGUCAAUGGGCGANAGCCUGAACCAGCGACGCCGCGUGGGC
This 367-nucleotide ribosomal RNA is filed under the name uncultured bacterium. RNAcentral's name for it is "bacterial SSU rRNA". It matches the Rfam family "Bacterial small subunit ribosomal RNA", at positions 28 to 406 of the family's 1533-position model. The record is from RNAcentral.